UUUUGGACAAUGGGCGCAAGCCUGAUCCAGCAAUGCCGCGUGAGUGAAGAAGGCCUUCGGGUUGUAAAGCUCUUUUGUCAGGGAAGAAACGGUGAGCUCUAAUACAGUUUGCUAAUGACGGUACCUGAAGAAUGAGCACCGGCUAACUACGUGCCAGCAGCCGCGGUAAUACGUAGGGUGCAAGCGUUAAUCGGAAUUACUGGGCGUAAAGCGUGCGCAGGCGGUUAUGUAAGUCAGAUGUGAAAUCCCCGGGCUCAACCUGGGAAUAGCAUUUGAGACUGCAUGGCUAGAGUGUGUCAGAGGGGGGUAGAAUUCCACGUGUAGCAGUGAAAUGCGUAGAGAUGUGGAGGAAUACCGAUGGCGAAGGCAGCCCCCUGGGAUAACACUGACGCUCAUCACGAA
This 402-nucleotide ribosomal RNA is filed under the name uncultured bacterium. RNAcentral's name for it is "bacterial SSU rRNA". It matches the Rfam family "Bacterial small subunit ribosomal RNA", at positions 362 to 757 of the family's 1533-position model. The record is from RNAcentral.